Molecule: ribosomal RNA, 260 nt
Filed under: uncultured archaeon
Lineage: Archaea
Description: partial 16S ribosomal RNA
Rfam family: Bacterial small subunit ribosomal RNA
Source: RNAcentral
UACGUAGGGUGCGAGCGUUAGUCGGAAUUACUGGGCGUAAAGCGUGCGCAGGCGGUUUGUUAAGAUAGGCGUGAAAUCCCCGGGCUCAACCUGGGAACUGCGUUUAUGACUGGCAGCUAGAGUGUGGCAGAGGGGGGUGGAAUUCCACGUGUAGCAGUGAAAUGCGUAGAGAUGUGGAGGAACACCGAUGGCGAAGGCAGCCCCCUGGGCCAAUACUGACGCUCAUGCACGAAAGCGUGGGGAGCAAACAGGAUUAGAAA